Molecule: ribosomal RNA, 492 nt
Filed under: uncultured bacterium
Lineage: Bacteria
Description: partial 16S ribosomal RNA
Rfam family: Bacterial small subunit ribosomal RNA
Source: RNAcentral
AGUGAACGCUGGCGGUAGGCCUGACACAUGCAAGUCGAACGGCAGCACAGUAAGAGCUUGCUCUUACGGGUGGCGAGUGGCGGACGGGUGAGGAAUACAUCGGAAUCUACUUUUUCGUGGGGGAUAACGUAGGGAAACUUACGCUAAUACCGCAUACGACCUACGGGUGAAAGCAGGGGAUCUUCGGACCUUGCGCGAUUGAAUGAGCCGAUGUCGGAUUAGCUAGUUGGCGGGGUAAAGGCCCACCAAGGCGACGAUCCGUAGCUGGUCUGAGAGGAUGAUCAGCCACACUGGAACGGAGACACGGUCCAGACUCCUAGGGGAGGCAGCAGUGGGGAAUAUUGGAGAAUGGGCGCAAGCCUGAUCCAGCCAUACAGCGUGGGUGAAGAAGGCCUUCGGGUUGUAAAGCCCUUUUGUUGGGAAAGAAAAGCAGCAGGUUAAUACCCCGCUGUUCUGACGGUACCCAAAGAAUAAGCACCGGCUAACUUCGUG